GCCCGGCUAGCUCAAUCGGUAGAGCGUGAGACUCUUACAAAGUCACCUGACUAGGCAUCUCAAGGUUGCGGGUUCGACCCCCGCGUUGGGCU
Molecule: non-coding RNA, 92 nt
Organism: Tricladium varicosporioides
Lineage: Eukaryota; Fungi; Ascomycota; Leotiomycetes; Helotiales; Tricladiaceae
Source: the annotation of a GenBank genome assembly